This 643-nucleotide ribosomal RNA is filed under the name uncultured Pseudomonadota bacterium. RNAcentral describes it as "bacterial SSU rRNA". It matches the Rfam family "Bacterial small subunit ribosomal RNA", at positions 253 to 916 of the family's 1533-position model. Lineage: Bacteria; Pseudomonadati; Pseudomonadota. The record is from RNAcentral.
UGAGGUAAUGGCUCACCAAGACGACGAUCAGUAGCUGGUCUGAGAGGAUGACCAGCCACAUUGGGACUGAGACACGGCCCAGACUCCUACGGGAGGCAGCAGUGGGGAAUCUUGCACAAUGGAGGAAACUCUGAUGCAGCGAUGCCGCGUGAGUGAAGAAGGCCUUUGGGUUGUAAAGCUCUUUUGUAGGGGAAGAUAAUGACUGUACCCUAAGAAUAAGGUCCGGCUAACUUCGUGCCAGCAGCCGCGGUAAUACGAAGGGACCUAGCGUAGUUCGGAAUUACUGGGCGUAAAGCGCGCGUAGGCCGUUGAGUUAGUUAAUUGUGAAAUCCCAAAGCUUAACUUUGGAACUGCAAUUAAAACUGCUCGACUAGAGUUUGAUAGAGGAAAGCGGAAUACAUAGUGUAGAGGUGAAAUUCGUAGAUAUUAUGUAGAACACCAGUUGCGAAGGCGGCUUUCUGGACCAACACUGACGCUGAGGCGCGAAAGUAUGGGUAGCAAAGAGGAUUAGAUACCCUCGUAGUCCGUACCAUAAACGAUGAUUGCUAGAUGUUGGAAAUUUAUUUUCAGUAUCGCAGCUAACGCAUUAAGCAAUCCGCCUGGGGAGUACGGUCGCAAGAUUAAAACUCAAAGGAAUUGACGG